Long non-coding RNA from Hordeum vulgare subsp. vulgare (domesticated barley), 513 nucleotides. RefSeq lists it as uncharacterized. The transcript is spliced from 2 exons. The record is from RefSeq and is a predicted model, not a curated record. Lineage: Eukaryota; Viridiplantae; Streptophyta; Magnoliopsida; Poales; Poaceae.
CCUCUUCUCCCACACAAGUCACAAUCCACCAUUCUGCCAACAACAAGACUACAAAUUCCUAUAUCAUUAUCAAGGCAUCGUCUAGCUAAAGAUGAGGACUACCGUGACGGUGCUCCUGCCUCUCGUGUUCCUGCUGGUCGUGCUAGCACCAGCCGAGGCGAGGGAGGAUUGUACAUACACAAUCCUCGAUCUGAAAGGCCAGGCAUGCGAUCGUGCUAUUUGUUCCUUCAACAGCCGGGUAGCGUUCGCUCAGCUUGGGUGCCCGAAACCUUCGACCAGUUGCUCUUGGAAAAGCGAGUGCACCAGUGCGGGGUGCAACUUCACCUACUGCAUGUAUAGCUAAGAUAGGUCGGCAUGUCGAUCUGAUAGAAUAAACAAGAUGAUUGCAUGGAUGGGAAUGCAGUAUGUAGUUUUGCUCGCUGCAAAGUGAUGUGCCUGAAUGGUAAAUUAUUUAUGUGCCUACUAUGCAUAUAUCUUGUUUUUCAUAUUAUCUAAAAGAAUCCAUUCAGUUUA